This is a ribosomal RNA of Chelonoidis abingdonii (Abingdon island giant tortoise), 108 nucleotides long. NCBI's taxonomy places the organism in Eukaryota, Metazoa, Chordata, Testudines, Testudinidae. The record is from Ensembl.
AUUAGCCUAUUACCAUAGGCUAUGAUCAUGUCAGAUCUCAUAAGCUUAGCAAGGGGAGGCUUGAUCAGUACUUAGAUGGAAGACUUCCAAGGAAGAAAGGAGCUUUUC